GACGAACGCUGGCGGCGUGCUUAACACAUGCAAGUCGAACGGUAAGGCCCUUCGGGGUACACGAGUGGCGAACGGGUGAGUAACACGUGGGUGAUCUGCCCUGCACUUUGGGAUAAGUCUGGGAAACUGGGUCUAAUACCGGAUAGGACCACGGCCUGCAUGGGUUGUGGUGGAAAGCUUUUGCGGUGUGGGAUGGGCCCGCGGCCUAUCAGCUUGUUGGUGGGGUGAUGGCCUACCAAGGCGACGACGGGUAGCCGGCCUGAGAGGGUGUCCGGCCACACUGGGACUGAGAUACGGCCCAGACGCCUACGGGAGGCAGCAGUGGGGAAUAUUGCACAAUGGGCGCAAGCCUGAUGCAGCGACGCCGCGUGGGGGAUGACGGCCUUCGGGUUGUAAACCUCUUUCACCAGGGACGAAGCGCAAGUGACGGUACCUGGAGAAGAAGCACCGGCCAACUACGUGCCAGCAGCCGCCGUAA
Molecule: ribosomal RNA, 478 nt
Filed under: uncultured bacterium
Lineage: Bacteria
Description: partial 16S ribosomal RNA
Rfam family: Bacterial small subunit ribosomal RNA
Source: RNAcentral